AAAUAUUUUCUUAUUUCCAAUUGAAAAAUAAGAAAAAUGUAUGAAUGGGUUUCCAUGAUGUGAACUGAAUUUGUUGAAUUUGCUAAGUUUCCAAAACAUAGAAAAAAAAAAUACAGAUGAACCUCAGUUGAACAGAUUCUAAACAACGGAUCCUGGAUUCAGCUUUAAAGAGUAUCUGUUGAAGUCUGUGACUUCUAAAAUUCAGCACAAUGAGUGCACUUCACCACAGGGCAGCCAACAGCACUAUGUUGUCAUCAUCGGACGGACUGGUUUGCGGCUUGCGCUACUCUCUCAUAAAUAAACAGACUCAGAGUAGACUAGAGCAGGCUAAAACACACAUCAAUGUAUGGACUAUGUUGGUAGUCGCGAUGUUAUAUCAAAGGAAAUGCACGGCUGUACGUGGUGGGUUAUGCUAGCAAGGAUUCAUGAACUUUAGCUUAGCAUCAACAUUAAGCAUGUAGCUCAAGGGAGCAUGUCUUGUUCAUAGCUCCGUUUUUUUUAUUUUUUAACACAAAGGAACUAAUCGUGUACACUCUUUCCAACAUGCUAUUUUUAGGACAGUGCAUCGAUGUUUUUUCUAAAGCUCUUAUCUAUGACAUCUAAUCACAACUGAAGUGAAAAAAAAAAAACCAAGCGCUAAUUAAGGUGACCAGCUCCAACCAACAAAAAGGACACAAAACAAGUCAUUGGAUGUAAUGGACAAUCGGCUCGAAUGGACGACCACCGACCCCAAUUACUUCAUUAAAUUGAGGUUCCAAUGUACCGUCAACGAAUUCAAAAUCGUCUUCUUUGCAGCCGCGGACACCCCCGAAUAAAAUUACGAUUACAAUA
Hippocampus comes (tiger tail seahorse) is the source of this 831-nucleotide long non-coding RNA. RefSeq lists it as uncharacterized. The transcript is spliced from 2 exons. NCBI's taxonomy places the organism in Eukaryota, Metazoa, Chordata, Actinopteri, Syngnathiformes, Syngnathidae. The record is from RefSeq and is a predicted model, not a curated record.